AUUGAACGCUGGCGGCAUGCCUUACACAUGCAAGUCGAACGGCAGCACGGGUGCUUGCACCUGGUGGCGAGUGGCGAACGGGUGAGUAAUACAUCGGAACAUGUCCUGUAGUGGGGGAUAGCCCGGCGAAAGCCGGAUUAAUACCGCAUACGAUCUACGGAUGAAAGCGGGGGACAUUCGGGCCUCGCGCUAUAGGGUUGGCCGAUGGCUGAUUAGCUAGUUGGUGGGGUAAAGGCCUACCAAGGCGACGAUCAGUAGCUGGUCUGAGAGGACGACCAGCCACACUGGGACUGAGACACGGCCCAGACUCCUACGGGAGGCAGCAGUGGGGAAUUUUGGACAAUGGGCGAAAGCCUGAUCCAGCAAUGCCGCGUGUGUGAAGAAGGCCUUCGGGUUGUAAAGCACUUUUGUCCGGAAAGAAAUCCUUGGCCCUAAUACGGUCGGGGGAUGACGGUACCGGAAGAAUAAGCACCGGCUAACUACGUG
Molecule: ribosomal RNA, 486 nt
Filed under: uncultured bacterium
Lineage: Bacteria
Description: partial 16S ribosomal RNA
Rfam family: Bacterial small subunit ribosomal RNA
Source: RNAcentral